Long non-coding RNA from Bombus impatiens (common eastern bumble bee), 151 nucleotides. RefSeq lists it as uncharacterized. The transcript is spliced from 3 exons. NCBI's taxonomy places the organism in Eukaryota, Metazoa, Arthropoda, Insecta, Hymenoptera, Apidae. The record is from RefSeq and is a predicted model, not a curated record.
UCGCUGUUCCGCUCGUCGAGAUAGAGCACGGCGCAAGUUUUCGCCGGAUAAGGAAUUUCCGCACGAUCGUUGACCGACGAUGGCGUAAUUAGGAGAUUCGACGAUGUGAAAAUCGUGGAAAAAUACGCGAACGUAAUUGCAAAAAUAACGC